Molecule: ribosomal RNA, 1464 nt
Filed under: Candidatus Branchiomonas cystocola
Lineage: Bacteria; Pseudomonadati; Pseudomonadota; Betaproteobacteria; Burkholderiales
Description: bacterial SSU rRNA
Rfam family: Bacterial small subunit ribosomal RNA
Source: RNAcentral
AGAUUGAACGCUGGCGGCAUGCUUUACACAUGCAAGUUGAACGGCAACGCGACAUAGUGCUUGCACUAUGUUGGCGGCGAGUAGCGGACGGGUGAGUAAUACAUCGGAACGUGUCUAGUGGUGGGGGAUAACUUAGCGAAAGUUAAGCUAAUACCGCAUAAGCUUGGGAGAGGAAAGCCUGGGACCGAGAGGCCAGGCGCCACAUGAGCGGCUGAUGGCUGAUUAGCUAGUUGGUAGGGUAAGAGCCUACCAAGGCUACGAUCAGUAGCUGGUCUGAGAGGAUGACCAGCCACACUGGGACUGAGAUACGGCCCAGACUCCUACGGGAGGCAGCAGUGGGGAAUAUUGGACAAUGGGGGCAACCCUGAUCCAGCGAUGCCGCGUGAGUGAAGAAGGCUUUAGGGUUGUAAAGCUCUUUUAUCAGGGGCGAAAGGACUGAUUCUAACAGGAUCAGGAGAUGACGGUACCUGAGGAAUAAGCACCGGCUAACUACGUGCCAGCAGCCGCGGUAAUACGUAGGGUGCGAGCGUUAAUCGGAUUUACUGGGCGUAAAGGGUGUGUAGGCGGAUAUUUAAGUUGGAUGUGAAAUACCUGGGCUUAACCGAGGAAUUGCAUUUGAAACUGGAUAUCUAGAGUAAGGCAGAGGGGGGUGGAAUUCCAUGUGUAGCAGUGAAAUGCGUAGAGAUAUGGAGGGACACCGAUGGCGAAGGCAGCCCCCUGGGUUAUUACUGACGCUGAGGCACGAAAGCGUGGGGAGCAAACAGGAUUAGAUACCCUGGUAGUCCACGCUGUAAACGAUGUCGACUAGUUGUUGGGGCAAAUAGCCUUAGUAACGAAGCAAACGCGUGAAGUCGACCGCCUGGGGAGUACGGCCGCAAGGUUAAAACUCAAAGGAAUUGACGGGGACCUGCACAAGCAGUGGAUGAUGUGGAUUAAUUCGAUGCAACGCGAAGAACCUUACCUACCCUUGACAUGUGCGGAAGCUGUAAGAGAUUACGGCGUGCCUGAGAAGGAGCCGCAACACAGGUGCUGCAUGGCUGUCGUCAGCUCGUGUCGUGAGAUGUUGGGUUAAGUCCCGCAACGAGCGGAACCCUUGUUGCCAGUUGCUACGUAAGAGCACUUUGGCGAUACUGCCGGUGACAAAUCGGAGGAAGGUGGGGACGACGUCAAGUCCUCAUGGCCCUUAUGGGUAGGGCUUCACACGUCAUACAAUGGCUAGUACAGAGGGCAGCGAAACCGCGAGGUGGAGCGAAUCUCAGAAAGCUAGUCGUAGUCCGGAUUGCAGUCUGAAACUCGACUGCAUGAAGUCGGAAUUGCUAGUAAUCGCGGAUCAGAAUGCCGCGGUGAAUACGUUCCCAGGUCUUGUACACACCGCCCGUCACACCAUGGGAGUGGGGUUGACCAGAAGCAGGUAGUCUAACCGCGAGGAGGGCGCCUGCCACGGUGAGCUUCAUGACUGGGGUG